UACGGAGGAUGCAAGCGUUAUCCGGAUUUAUUGGGUUUAAAGGGUCCGCAGGCGGAAAGAUAAGUCAGUGGUGAAAGCCCGUAGCUCAACUACGGAACUGCCAUUGAUACUGUUUUUCUUGAGUAUGGUUGCCGUUGGCGGAAUAUAACAUGUAGCGGUGAAAUGCUUAGAUAUGUUAUAGAACACCGAUUGCGAAGGCAGCUAACGAAACCAUUACUGACGCUCAGGGACGAAAGCGUGGGGAGCAAACAGGAUUAGAUACCCUGGUAGUCCACGCCGUAAACGAUGAUCACUCGAUGUCGGCAAUAUACAGUCGGUGUCCAAGCGAAAGUGUUAAGUGAUCCACCUGGGGAGUACGUUCGCAAGAAUG
Molecule: ribosomal RNA, 370 nt
Filed under: uncultured prokaryote
Description: bacterial SSU rRNA
Rfam family: Bacterial small subunit ribosomal RNA
Source: RNAcentral